UUUCGCCCCCAGUGAUGGCUAGAUAAGUGCCGGAGCCGGAUAAGACACUGCGCGGUUGCAACGAGGAAGCAUGUGGCAAAGAUUGUUGUAACGCGUCCGCUUUGCCGUCCCCUGAAUCGACUGAUGGCUGACCAUGAAGAGCUGGAUCUCAUUGGAAUGGACAAUGGUGCGAUCGACGACGGUUCCCGGAACAACAUUGUUGAACUUAUUUUAUUUCGAUGGAGCUCCGUUCGGAAAGAAGCGCGGAUGAUGCCGCUUAACUACAAUGACUCAGCAAAUCUUGGGUUUAAUAUGCAUCUGAAAGGAAGCGAAGGCCACAGAAAUCCCCAUCAACUCUUCAUUCUUAAUCUUGGGAAACUGUCCCUCGCUGCCACCAUCACGAUAAUAGCUAAUGUGCUCGGCAUAGGAUAUGCGGAACUGAUGAUAGACACGCAAGUGCUAUCGUUUGGUGUUCGUUAUUACACCAAAUUUCGGGCGCUUUUUUGAUGUCGUGAAGUAAAAGGCUGAGCUGAAGGAUGGCAUUCUCACACAAUGCA
Long non-coding RNA from Drosophila persimilis, 536 nucleotides. RefSeq lists it as uncharacterized. The transcript is spliced from 3 exons. The record is from RefSeq and is a predicted model, not a curated record. Lineage: Eukaryota; Metazoa; Arthropoda; Insecta; Diptera; Drosophilidae.